Long non-coding RNA from Paramisgurnus dabryanus, 1659 nucleotides. RefSeq lists it as uncharacterized. Lineage: Eukaryota; Metazoa; Chordata; Actinopteri; Cypriniformes; Cobitidae. The record is from RefSeq and is a predicted model, not a curated record.
CCUGCUGUCCUUAAAAAAAAUCUAUAUGCUAUCUUUUACCAUCUGUAAUCUUAGGCUAUACAGUUUACUGAUUCUCUGUAUAUUUCAUUGAAAAUGAAAAAACACCUGAUCGUUCUGGUUUUCUGCUUCAGUUUAGUGCUCCCAAUACAGAACAGAAAGAAUCCACCUCGAAAUGUAUUUUUACGUACAUUUUUAUCAACUAACGAGAUGAUAAACCGUACGCUUUUCAAUAAAACUCAAGGAUAUUUUUGGGAGAAUAACACGGAUCAUGCAGAGACACAAUGGCCACAAAACGUCUCACAAAAUUAAAACAAAACCUAUUUGCACAGCCCUGUAAUGAAAUUGUAAUUAAAGCAACUGGAAAUCAUGCUGUUCAUCAAUCAACUCUGCAGGAUUUUAUAAUCUUAAGAUAAAGUUUAAGACAUGCAAUUAUGACCCAUGUCAGGUUAAAGUUUUUCAUUUAAGUCAAAUUAUUAACAUUUGACCCUUUUUUUCUGUAAAGAUAUCUAAAUAUUCCUAAAAUUGUAUUUGAAAGCAAAAUGGCAUAUCCAGUUUUAAGAGUAGAAAUGUUUAGAUUAAAAUGAAGAAAUUUUUUUUAAAGGGGUAAGAAAAAUAAGUUUAUUCUUUACUUGUCAUUACCUACACAAUAAUUGUAAUGUUUACUAUGUAUAACACUGAAAUUUAACUAUUGGGAAAAUUAUGUGAUAUUCCAGCAAGAACAUCUUUUCAGUCUUUAAAUGUUUAUAAUGUAAAUUUACAAAAUCAAAGUCGAUAAUGUUCAUUGAUUGAUGACUUUGUCUGUACACAUUUCAAUUUGGGGGCAAACAGAAGAGUUGAAACAAUGCCAGUGGAAAUAAUCAAAGUUUAAGGAAAGUAUUUAAUAUCACAACAGUCCACCAGGUCUUUUAAUGAAGCAUCAUCUCAUCAUCUCUUCAAUUUGUGAGGCUUAAUAUGUUGGCCUCCAGCGGUGUAAAUUUGCCUGAGAAAUCUGUAGGUCAUUUAUUCAAGAUCAUGUUUAUUCUUUGAUUUUUUUAUGUCUUCCUUAUAUCUUAUGUCUUAAAGUUAUUUAGUUUUAAUAUAUGUACAGUCUUUGUGUCUAAAGGUUAAAAAUCGAACCAUGGCAUCAUAAAAAUCUGUAAGGUUUCUGGUGAACUACUAACAUUUUUAAAUCUUGACUAAUGUGCUUUUUUGUGAAAAGGCUAACCAUGUGAGUCUUUAAGAGCAUAAAUUAGUUUGCGUUGUUUGAAGGGAACAUGUUACUAUCUUACCUCUGUGGCUCUGGCUAAAACCAAGAUGGCCUGUUCCAGAAAAGACUUUUUGAUAUAAAUGGCCUCCCUUUGGGGGAAGAGGAUAAACAAAACAUUUCAACAUUAUGAGGAGCUUGCCAAGAUUAACACACAAAUGCAAACUGUACUGGACUUUGAUACAAAACAAAUUUACUAAUGUCCUAUUUAACCCUUACCUAUUAUUCAGUGUAUAAUUUUUGAUUUUGUCCUCCAAUUAUUCUGUUUUCUCCCCAUGUCAGCACAGACAGCAAUGUUAUAUGAAAGAUUGGCAUAUUUUAUUUUAAAAAUGUAAGAAAAUACAAAAUCUGAAUGUGCAUUGUUUUACCUUGUGGUAAAAAACAUGUUUGUAUAAAGAUACCCUUGUUGAAGGUUA